RNAcentral lists this ribosomal RNA (497 nucleotides) under uncultured bacterium. RNAcentral's name for it is "partial 16S ribosomal RNA". It matches the Rfam family "Bacterial small subunit ribosomal RNA", at positions 28 to 507 of the family's 1533-position model. The record is from RNAcentral.
GAUGAACGCUGGCGGCGUGCCUAAUACAUGCAAGUCGAGCGAACGGACGAGAAGCUUGCUUCUCUCACGUUAGCGGCGGACGGGUGAGUAACACGUGGAUAACCUACCUAUAAGACUGGGAUAACUUCGGGAAACCGUAGCUAAUACCGGAUAAUAUUUUGAACCGCAUGGUUCAAAAGUGAAAGACGGUCUUGCUGUCACUUAUAGAUGGAUCCGCGCUGCAUUAGCUAGUUGGUAAGGUAACGGCUUACCAAGGCAACGAUGCAUAGCCGACCUGAGAGGGUACUCGGCCACACGGGAACUGAGACAAGGUCCAGACUCCUACGGGAGGCAACAGUAGGGAAUCGUCCGCAAUGGGCGAAGACCUGACGGAGCAACGGGGCGUGAGUGAGGAGGGGCUUCGGAUCGUAAAAGUCUGUUAUUAGGGAAGAACAUAUGUGUAAGUGACUGUGCACAUCUUGACGGUACCUAAUCAGAAGGCCACGGCUAACUACGUG